AUGAUGCCCAGGGAAAUCAAAAUGUCAACAAGUGAAAACUUACGGGUGGAGUUAUUGUCCAGGACCCCGCCUUUUGGUUUGAGACUAUGGGUUGUGCUUGGCAUAAGCAUUUGGGCUGCAAUUCUGUUUGUCCUAGGCCUCAUAUGCUUCCUGUUGGUAUACUGGAGGAGACGAGGGAAUCAUCAUGAUAUUGCUGAGCCUGAAAUCCCAGAUGUAACCAAAGAGAUUGCAGUAGAUGAAGUUGGUAGCCGAGCUUUCGUGGAGAACAUCAGUGCCCCAGAAAGUCACAUCUUUCCAGUGAAGGAGAGAGAUCCAGAGAAAGAAUCGGGGAAAAUGUUCGCUCACUUGAUUACGAGCAAAUCAAGUGAUGAUCAUAAUUUGAUUGAGUGCAGCUCGCACCAAUAUGAUAGGGCCCAGGAGUUAUACUCUGGUGAUGAAGGCAGUUCAGCAUAUGAUAAGAGGGAGUACUCUCAGUGUGCCACCAUGUCCAUGUCUCCUCGAGCUGGUCUCCCAGAGUUCUCUCACCUGGGUUUGGGUCAUUGGUAUACUCUCAGAGAGUUGGAGCAUUCAACAAAUGGGUUCUCUAAUGAGCAUAUCAUUGGAGAGGGCGGAUAUGGGGUUGUUUAUCAUGGCCGUCUUAUAAAUGGAACUGAUGUUGCAAUCAAAAAACUUUUUAAUAACCUGGGCCAGGCAGAGAAAGAGUUCAGGGUCGAAGUUGAGGCCAUUGGUCAUGUUAGGCAUAAGAAUCUGGUGCGACUUCUGGGUUACUGUGUCGAGGGAAGCCACAGGAUGCUUGUCUACGAAUACAUCAGCAACGGCAACUUAGAACAGUGGUUGCAUGGUGCGAUGCGUCAACAAGGUGUUCUUACCUGGGAAGCCCGCAUAAAAAUUACCCUUGGCAUUGCUAAAGCACUGGCUUAUUUGCAUGAAGGCAUAGAGCCAAAAGUUAUUCACCGUGAUAUCAAAUCCAGUAAUAUCCUUAUUGACGAAGAAUUCAAUGGAAAACUUUCUGACUUUGGAUUAUCUAAGCUCUUGGGUGAAGGGAAGAGCCAUAUAACUACUCGAGUUAUGGGGACUUUUGGCUAUGUAGCCCCUGAAUACGUAAAUACUGGACUGCUAAAUGAAAAGAGCGACGUGUACAGUUUUGGGGUACUACUCUUGGAAGCGGUGACUGGAAGGGAUCCUGUUAACUACAGCCGGCCUGCCAAUGAGGUCCAUAUGGUGGAGUGGCUUAAACAGAUGGUUGGCAGCAGGAAAGCAGAGGAGGUGGUUGAUCCUGAAAUGGAGGCUAAACCAACUAAACAGGCUCUCAAGCGUGCUCUCCUAGUCGCGCUCAAGUGUGUAGACCCCGUUGCUGGCAGAAGGCCUACUAUGGGUCAGGCCGUUCGUAUGCUCGAAGCAGAGGAUGGGCUAUCACGGGAGGAACGGAGGAAGAGCCGGCCGGCGCAUGUCGAUGGUGGAGACACCUGA
Molecule: ribosomal RNA, 1470 nt
Filed under: Triticum aestivum (bread wheat)
Lineage: Eukaryota; Viridiplantae; Streptophyta; Magnoliopsida; Poales; Poaceae
Description: partial small subunit ribosomal RNA
Source: RNAcentral